CCGCGUCCGCGGCCUUCAAACGUGGGGGAUGCUCAGGGGACCCGCGGUCCCACCCCGUGGCCGCGGGUGAUGACCGCGGGUGUCUCCUGAGUCGGGAACAGCUGACCCGCGGUCUUACCCCGCGGCCGCGGGUGGUGACCGCGGGGUACUGGGCGUUUUGCACAGUCCGCUCGUUUUUGCUCCGUUCUCCCUCGUCCGGACUCGGAUUUGGUCGCCGUUUGCGCUCACGGAUUCCUCUC
Molecule: long non-coding RNA, 239 nt
Filed under: Salvia miltiorrhiza (redroot sage)
Lineage: Eukaryota; Viridiplantae; Streptophyta; Magnoliopsida; Lamiales; Lamiaceae
Description: long non-coding RNA (SMIL_LNC013780)
Source: RNAcentral